AGAAUAAUCUCGGGAAACUGAGCAUAAUUCUUGAUAGAUCAUAAUGCCUGGAAUGGUUUAUGGUUAAAAUGAUUCGUCGCCAUAGGAUGGGACUGCGGCCUAUCAGCUUGUUGGUGAGGUAAUGGCCCACCAAGGCGAUUACAGGUACGGGCUCUGAGAGGAGAAGCCCGGAGAUGGGUACUGAGACACGGACCCAGGCCCUAUGGGGCGCAGCAGGCGAGAAAACUUUGCAAUGUGCGAAAGCACGACAAGGUUAAUCCGAGUGAUUUCUGCUAAAGAAAUCUUUUGCCAGUCAUAAAACCACUGGUGAAUAAGGGGUGGGCAAGUUCUGGUGUCAGCCGCCGCGGUAAAACCAGCACCUCAAGUGGUCAGGAUGAUUAUUGGGCCUAAAGCAUCCGUAGCCGGCUUUGUAAGUUUUCGGUUAAAUCCAUGUGCUCAACGCAUGGGCUGCCGAAAAUACUGCGUGGCUAGGGAGUGGGA
RNAcentral lists this ribosomal RNA (480 nucleotides) under uncultured archaeon. RNAcentral describes it as "bacterial SSU rRNA". It matches the Rfam family "Archaeal small subunit ribosomal RNA", at positions 123 to 604 of the family's 1478-position model. The record is from RNAcentral.